CCUACGGGUGGCAGCAGUGAGGAAUAUUGGUCAAUGGGAGAGAUCCUGAACCAGCCAAGCCGCGUGAGGGAAGACGGCCCUAUGGGUUGUAAACCUCUUUUGUCGGAGAACAAAACCCGGGACGAGUCCCGGACUGCGUUUAUCCGAAGAAAAAGCAUCGGCUAACUCCGUGCCAGCAGCCGCGGUAAUACGGAGGAUGCGAGGUUUGUCCGGAUUUAUUGGGGUAAAGGGGUGGGUAGGCGGUCUGUUAAGUCAGCGGUAAAAUGGCGGGGCUCAACCCCGUCGAGCCGUUGAAACUGGCAGACUUGAGUUGGCGAGAGGGACGCGGAAUGCGCGGUGUAGCGGUGAAAUGCAUAGAGAUCGCGCAGAACUCCGAUGGCGAAGGCAGCGUACCGGCGCCAGACUGACGCUGAGGCACGAAAGCGUGGGGAUCGAACAGGAUUAGAUACCCCUGUAGUC
Molecule: ribosomal RNA, 459 nt
Filed under: uncultured bacterium
Lineage: Bacteria
Description: partial 16S ribosomal RNA
Rfam family: Bacterial small subunit ribosomal RNA
Source: RNAcentral